CCUACGGGAGGCAGCAGUGAGGAAUAUUGGUCAAUGGGCGCGAGCCUGAACCAGCCAAGUAGCGUGAAGGAUGACUGCCCUACGGGUUGUAAACUUCUUUUAUAAAGGAAUAAAGUGAGGCACGUGUGCCUUUUUGUAUGUACUUUAUGAAUAAGGAUCGGCUAACUCCGUGCCAGCAGCCGCGGCAAUACGGAGGAUCCGCGCGUUAUCCGGAUUUAUUGGGUUUAAAGGGAGCGUAGAUGGGUUGUUAAGUCAGUUGUGAAAGUUUGCGGCUCAACCGUAAAAUUGCAAUUGAUACUGGCAGUCUUGAGUACAGUUGAGGUCGGCGGACUUCGUGUUGUCGCGGUGAGAUGCUUAGAUAUCACGAAGAACUCCGAUUGC
This 381-nucleotide ribosomal RNA is filed under the name uncultured bacterium. RNAcentral's name for it is "partial 16S ribosomal RNA". It matches the Rfam family "Bacterial small subunit ribosomal RNA", at positions 338 to 716 of the family's 1533-position model. The record is from RNAcentral.